CAGAGUAUAGCUAAAUAGAAAAGCAUCUCCCUUACACCGAGAAGGCAUCUGUGCAAAUCAGAUUACCCUGA
Molecule: transfer RNA, 71 nt
Filed under: Gadopsis bispinosus
Lineage: Eukaryota; Metazoa; Chordata; Actinopteri; Centrarchiformes; Percichthyidae
Description: tRNA-Val
Rfam family: tRNA
About the family: Transfer RNA (tRNA) molecules are approximately 80 nucleotides in length.
Source: RNAcentral